GAUGAAGAACGCAGCGAAAUGCGAUAAGUAGUGUGAAUUGCAGAAUUCAGUGAAUCAUCGAAUCUUUGAACGCACAUUGCGCCCCUUGGUAUUCCGAGGGGCAUGCCUGUUCGAGCGUCAUUUCACCACUCAAGCCUGGCUUGGUGUUGGGCGACGUCCUCUUUGGGGACGCGCCUCGAAACGCUCGGCGGCGUGGCACCGGCUUUAAGCGUAGCAGAAUCUUUCGCUUUGGAAGUCGGGGCCCCGUCUGCCGGAAGACCUGCUCGCAAGGUUGACCUCGGAUCAGGCAGGGAUACCCGCUGAACUUAAGCAUAUCAAUAAGCGGAGGA
RNAcentral lists this unclassified non-coding RNA (329 nucleotides) under soil metagenome. RNAcentral's name for it is "partial contains 5.8S ribosomal RNA, internal transcribed spacer 2, and large subunit ribosomal RNA". The stretch from base 1 to 120 matches the Rfam family "5.8S ribosomal RNA", at positions 35 to 154 of the family's 154-position model. The record is from RNAcentral.